This is a long non-coding RNA of Clupea harengus (Atlantic herring), 1648 nucleotides long. The record is from Ensembl. Lineage: Eukaryota; Metazoa; Chordata; Actinopteri; Clupeiformes; Clupeidae.
AAUCUGCGCGAGAUGAGGCAGCUUAACAGAAGCGUAGAGGCCAAGGCCGGGGUCAACCGUUUUCAAAUCAGCCACAAAAGAACGACCCAUGACCAGGCAGACCCGUUUUAACGGACGUUUUUUUGAACCGCCCCUUAAUUAAAUCUCGAAGAAAUACAACAAAAUCUGUCCAUCUGUUUUGUUUUCCGAAAACAAUUCUUGUUUCUCAGCACUGGUAUUGUGUUGGCACUGGUAUUAUAAGUGUCUACCGCGGCCAAUAUUGGAAGAAGUUGUCCGUUUGAGCCUAUUUGCAGCCCAUAUAAAUUAACACUUGCUUAAUGCUGUCGAUUUAGGAGUCAGGUUUUAUAGGUAAGAUUGGUAGCAUAUGCAUGUCAAAAUCCAAAACGUUAUCAAUUUUGUGAUUAUCAGAACUGUAUGAUAACUAUGAAUCAUGCAAUUAAAAUCAGACUUUUAAAAUCUGACAAUGUAGCCUAUAUUGAACAACAGACUGUGAAUCGACGCACUAUGAAAAACGAUGGGUCUUCAUGGCAACAAUCGCAGAAAGACUAUGGGAGAGGUCCACAAUUGCAUUGGGCAGAUAUGUCAGUUCAGUCGUGGGUAAAUAUGUAUGUGCAAUAACUAAACAAAUAAGCGUCCAAGAAUUACCUGAAUGAAUAUAUGGAUGAAUGAAUGAUCGCAGCUCUUCUAAAACUCUCGUCACAGAUUCUGAGCCGCAUCUCUCUCCCUCGCAAACCCAAACACAUACACAAGCACGCAGAGUUAUAACGAAGAUAGCCUAACAAAUGUAAGACAACAUCCAGGGAGCUUAUCAAUUUUAUAAGCUGCGAAAUUAUAUGCUACAUACUGAUACAUUCACGCAUUUCAGUUGGACAAGCACUUGCUGUUGGUCCUAACGGACUCAGAAUUUGUUGAGUUUUUUUUUUUUCGAACACGGGCAUGGAAAGAGAACACAAAAAAGCUCUUUCGGCACAUCUAACGGUCGCCUAUACAACGACACAUCAACCCAUUUGACAUCCUGUUAUUUGUGUCUACUGUCUCAGUUUCAGCCAGCAAUUGUAAGACGAACCGCGAAUCUCAGUUUUCUCUGUGCUCCAAAACACCACAACUUCCACGACAGGUUUAACUCUGCUCUUUCAAAAUAAAACUCUCGACGCUUUUCGCUCUGAGUGUACAACUCAAGUUGUUACUGAAAAGUUGAUGCAUCUUUACGCACAUAUAUGUCCGCUUCAUAUCGAGUGGCAACACAUGUCCUCACAGUGAUUGAGCAACCUAAAACUACCAGAAACAAGAUCCGCUUUUGGGCGUUUGAAUGGAACCGCAUCUGCCCCUACGCCCGAAACUGCGUGGAUAUUUCUCUGGUGCAAUGCCGUUGACUUAACACAUACAAGCAUUUCGCCUUACCUGUUGGUCCUUCCAAAUUUUCCGCGUACACCCUUACGAAUAACAUCAGUAGAAAAGCUCCAGAAUUCAUUGUAACGUCUUUUAGUUCCAGUUCCUUGCGUGUUGGCAGUUGGUUGAAAUCCUAAACAGUGUCUCCGGACACUGAAGCGAAGUUGCGCAUUGAUUGCUGUUAUCCUGCCGGAGCAAGUACUGAGUUUCCACGAGAGACGCAGCAGCAGCAGCCACCCGAGCUGUUCCAGCUGACGUC